RNAcentral lists this ribosomal RNA (429 nucleotides) under uncultured bacterium. Its description in RNAcentral is "bacterial SSU rRNA". It matches the Rfam family "Bacterial small subunit ribosomal RNA", at positions 917 to 1349 of the family's 1533-position model. The record is from RNAcentral.
GGGCCCGCACAAGCGGUGGAGCAUGUGGUUUAAUUCGAUGAUACGCGAGGAACCUUACCAGGACUUAAAUGUAAGUUGCAUGAUUCAGAAAUGAAUCUUUCUUCGGACUACUUACAAGGUGCUGCAUGGUUGUCGUCAGCUCGUGCCGUGAGGUGUCAGGUUAAGUCCUAUAACGAGCGCAACCCCUAUCGUUAGUUGCCAUCAAGUAAAGUUGGGAACUCUAGCGAAACUGCCGGUGCAAACCGUGAGGAAGGUGGGGAUGACGUCAAAUCAUCACGGCCCUUACGUUCUGGGCUACACACGUGCUACAAUGGCCGGUACAGAAAGCAGCCACUAUGCGAAUAGGAGCUAAUCUUCAAAGCCGAUCUCAGUUCGGAUCGGAGUCUGCAACUCGACUCCGUGAAGUCGGAAUCGCUAGUAAUCGUGGAU